GUCUUUUUGAAAAUAAUUUAAAGUCAAAUCUGCCCACUGAUUUUAUUAAAGGGCUGCAGUAAAUUGACUGUACAAAGGUAGCAUAAUAAUUAGUCUUUUAAUUGAAGACUUGUAUGAAGGAUUUAAUGAAAUAUAAGCUGUCUCUUUUAUAUAAUUUGAAUUUAAUUUUUUAGUAAAAAAGCUAAAAUUUUUUUAAAAGACGAGAAGACCCUAUAGAGUUUUAUAUUUAAUUUAAAUUAUAAUUUUUUAUUAAAAUUAAAUAAAAAUUAAAUUAAAUAUUUUAUUGGGGUGAUAAAAAAAUAAAAUUAACUUUUUUUAUAUACAUAGUAUAAAUAUAUUAUAUGUAUUUAUCUAUAAAUAAACAUUAAUUAGUGAAAAAAUGAUCCAUAAUUUGUGAUUAUAAGAAAAAAUUACCUUAGGGAUAACAGCGUAAUUUUUUUUUUUAGUUCAAAUAAAAAAAAAAGUUUGCGACCUCGAUGUUGGAUUAAGAUAAAAUUUAAAUGUAGAAGUUUAAAAUUUUUGAUCUGUUCGAUCAUUAAAAUCUUACA
Molecule: ribosomal RNA, 548 nt
Filed under: Pedesta bivitta
Lineage: Eukaryota; Metazoa; Arthropoda; Insecta; Lepidoptera; Hesperiidae
Description: partial 16S ribosomal RNA
Rfam family: Bacterial large subunit ribosomal RNA (bases 421-548)
Source: RNAcentral